Molecule: ribosomal RNA, 689 nt
Filed under: Rahnella sp. N
Lineage: Bacteria; Pseudomonadati; Pseudomonadota; Gammaproteobacteria; Enterobacterales; Yersiniaceae
Description: bacterial SSU rRNA
Rfam family: Bacterial small subunit ribosomal RNA
Source: RNAcentral
ACGCUGGCGGCAGGCCUAACACAUGCAAGUCGAGCGGCAGCGGAAAGUAGCUUGCUACUUUGCCGGCGAGCGGCGGACGGGUGAGUAAUGUCUGGGAAACUGCCUGAUGGAGGGGGAUAACUACUGGAAACGGUAGCUAAUACCGCAUGACCUCGAAAGAGCAAAGUGGGGGAUCUUCGGACCUCACGCCAUCGGAUGUGCCCAGAUGGGAUUAGCUAGUAGGUGAGGUAAUGGCUCACCUAGGCGACGAUCCCUAGCUGGUCUGAGAGGAUGACCAGCCACACUGGAACUGAGACACGGUCCAGACUCCUACGGGAGGCAGCAGUGGGGAAUAUUGCACAAUGGGCGCAAGCCUGAUGCAGCCAUGCCGCGUGUGUGAAGAAGGCCUUAGGGUUGUAAAGCACUUUCAGCGAGGAGGAAGGCAUCAUACUUAAUACGUGUGGUGAUUGACGUUACUCGCAGAAGAAGCACCGGCUAACUCCGUGCCAGCAGCCGCGGUAAUACGGAGGGUGCAAGCGUUAAUCGGAAUUACUGGGCGUAAAGCGCACGCAGGCGGUUUGUUAAGUCAGAUGUGAAAUCCCCGCGCUUAACGUGGGAACUGCAUUUGAAACUGGCAAGCUAGAGUCUUGUAGAGGGGGGUAGAAUUCCAGGUGUUAGCGGUGAAAUGCGUAGAGAUCUGGAGGAAUACC